GUAAUGCUUAGGAAUCUGCCUAUUAGUGGGGGACAACAUCUCGAAAGGGAUGCUAAUACCGCAUACGUCCUACGGGAGAAAGCAGGGGACCUUCGGGCCUUGCGCUAAUAGAUGAGCCUAAGUCGGAUUAGCUAGUUGGUGGGGUAAAGGCCUACCAAGGCGACGAUCUGUAGCGGGUCUGAGAGGAUGAUCCGCCGCACUGGGACUGAGACACGGCCCAGACUCCUACGGGAGGCAGCAGUGGGGAAUAUUGGACAAUGGGGGGAACCCUGAUCCAGCCAUGCCGCGUGUGUGAAGAAGGCCUUUUGGUUGUAAAGCACUUUAAGCGAGGAGGAGGCUACCGAGAUUAAUACUCUUGGAUAGUGGACGUUACUCGCAGAAUAAGCACCGGCUAACUCUGUGCCAGCAGCCGCGGUAAUACAGAGGGUGCAAGCGUUAAUCGGAUUUACUGGGCGUAAAGCGCGCGUAGGUGGCCAAUUAAGUCAAAUGUGAAAUCCCCGAGCUUAACUUGGGAAUUGCAUUCGAUACUGGUUGGCUAGAGUAUGGGAGAGGAUGGUAGAAUUCCAGGUGUAGCGGUGAAAUGCGUAGAGAUCUGGAGGAAUACCGAUGGCGAAGGCAGCCAUCUGGCCUAACACUGACACUGAGGUG
Molecule: ribosomal RNA, 648 nt
Filed under: uncultured bacterium
Lineage: Bacteria
Description: bacterial SSU rRNA
Rfam family: Bacterial small subunit ribosomal RNA
Source: RNAcentral